RNAcentral lists this long non-coding RNA (343 nucleotides) under Helianthus annuus (common sunflower). Its description in RNAcentral is "sRNA HanXRQr2_Chr07g0292061". Lineage: Eukaryota; Viridiplantae; Streptophyta; Magnoliopsida; Asterales; Asteraceae. The record is from RNAcentral.
AUGUUCUUCACCUUCUUCCGGUCACGCUCCGGCUCUUUUAGCGCUCUGAUGGCUAACGCGGCGGCGGACGGCACAACGGAGACCUUCGCAUGAUGGUUUUGCACGGUGAGUUUAACGGUGACUCGGAGACAGAUCUUGAAGGUUUGUUAUGAUCUUGAAGAUUGACGAUGUCAUCUCGCCAUCGGAAUAUUGAUGUCUGUGGUUUCUACCUUCAAGUUUUGCAACUGAUUUAUUGUUGAUGAACCUAGUCUGUUUCGUACUAGUGGCAUUAGAGAACAAUGAGAAUCACACGUCUACACUUGCUUUAUUGGUGUUGCAUCAGAUGGUUGAAGGAAGACUAUGA